This is a long non-coding RNA of Triticum dicoccoides, 543 nucleotides long. RefSeq lists it as uncharacterized. Lineage: Eukaryota; Viridiplantae; Streptophyta; Magnoliopsida; Poales; Poaceae. The record is from RefSeq and is a predicted model, not a curated record. The transcript has 2 exons.
CAUUCUUGUCGUCACUGGUGGCUCCUCGCUGUACCUCACUGCUCCCUGCGCAAGCCACCGCAGCGCUCCGCCAUAGCUUGCCCAUGCCCGUGCGAGCAACCGUAGCUCCCGCGCCUGUGCUCACACACGCCCUGCUGAUGCCCACCGCGGCUCGUCGCCCGUGCUUGUGCACUUCUGCAUGCGUCAGCGCAGUUCGUCCUCGCCUCACGGAUGCCUACGCGAGCUCACCAUGUGUUUCCCCCCACGCCUGCGAGCGAUAGCGCAGCUCUCGGCAGGUCCAGAGAAAGUGCCGUGAUGGCAGAAGCACCCGGAGGAGAUGUAUGCGUUUGAAGGUCGUGGAGAUGUUGAAUGCAAGCAACAUGUAUGUCAUGUUUAUUGUAAUAUUUUGCUUGAUUAUGGGUUAUAAUUUGGAAAUUACAUCAAGAAUAGAAUGUCACCUUUUGUUUCACAGCCUGGCUUCUAUCUUCAAUCUGUAAUACCUUUUUAGUUGGUGCAAAUUGAUCCGAAUUGUGAUGCAAAGUUCUUAGUAUAAGUUACCUAUAA